GAGCUGGUAGGCAACUACCGGUUCGGGCACAUACUGGUCUCGGGCACCAGUGAUCGUGGGUUCAAAUCCCACCCGCCCCACCA
RNAcentral lists this transfer RNA (83 nucleotides) under Crenarchaeota archaeon 13_1_20CM_2_51_8. RNAcentral describes it as "tRNA-Pro". It matches the Rfam family "tRNA". Rfam says of the family: Transfer RNA (tRNA) molecules are approximately 80 nucleotides in length. The record is from RNAcentral. Lineage: Archaea; Thermoproteati; Thermoproteota.